This is a long non-coding RNA of Cygnus atratus (black swan), 1366 nucleotides long. RefSeq lists it as uncharacterized. The record is from RefSeq and is a predicted model, not a curated record. The transcript has 3 exons. NCBI's taxonomy places the organism in Eukaryota, Metazoa, Chordata, Aves, Anseriformes, Anatidae.
CCUCGUCUGAGCACCUCUGUCCAUACUUUCAUGCUGCAGUUGACAGGGUUCAGUCACAGAACCAUUCCUGAGUCUGUCUGCUUGUUGCUCCUGCUGCAGGCUGCUGUUCCAUGAUUUAAAUCACCUCGUACACACUUUCCAAGCUUUCUCCUGCCUGAUAGCAAAAGGAACUCUGUCCUUAACACCUGUGAAGAGCAUGCUGGGAAUAACUUCAGGCAUAGUAAUUGGACUGUUGAAGUCUAAGCAAAUACCCUUCACGGAGCAACUUCAUGGGGUAACUCAACUGUUUUGCUGGAGGGAGUUGUCUUAGGACAAGCUCUCACUGAGAACCUGUUCCUCUUCUUCCAGUGCCCUUUCUGAAGGGAGGGGAAGAGAAAACCAACAACAUAGCAUGGAGAAAGGAGAAUGGGAAAAUGUUGGCAUUUGGGAACACACAUGAUUCUAGGUGCUUUGCUUCCUUCUCUCUCUCCUUCUGCAGACUGUGCUUAGGAAAAUCUUCAUUGCUGAUGGUGACAAAUCAGCAUCUGCACAAACUGAUGUGCUGGUGAAUUUGUCCAGCUUGGAGAUCUGCUACACUUCCAUCACAUUGCUCAGGCUGCUGGCCAGCUUUCUGACUGGAGAUUGGACCACCUCUGCUCAGGGCUGUGUGGCUAAGCUCUAUUUCUUUGGAUCUCUUGCAGCUUCUUAGUGCUACUAGCUGGCAACCAUGUCCUACCAUUGGUACCUGGUCAAAAUGAUAUUGAACCCAAAAGACAUAUGUUUUCCCCCCUUUGAUAGAGCAAGGGGCAAAAUUUGAAAUGCAUUAUGAGCAGAUAGGUCUAACCUUUGCUAUGUUUAGUUAGAUAGGAGGAAGUUUGGAAACUUUGUAUUACUUAGCCAGCUUCAUCUGUAAGCAAAUACAGACUUGUACCUCAAAGUGAAAGCAAGAUGAUCCAGGCCUGGAGGAUGUGUCAGAAGAAGAUGAGAUGAGGAACUCAUGUUAUGCAUAUGUCCUUGGAUGUGUAAAUGACUAAGCUCAGUGUGCAUGCCAAAGUUGAAACAAUAAGAAAAGAAAGAAUGAGAAGGCAUGAUCAAUCACAAGAACUGGGUUCAACCAGUGAACACAGCGAGGAAGACUACUGAUGACCACCAGAAGACCUUGAAAGACCACCAGUAGAAACAAAUGUGCAUGCAUCAGGAACAUUUGAGUAUUUUAAUGAUUUAUGGAACGUAAUAUGAAUAUAAUAAUUAUCCAAUAGAAAUCGAAUAAAUAUGUAUAUUUUGAUUGCAUAUAACCUUUGUGAUUGAGCAACUCAGUAUGCACACUAGGUGAAGUGUUCCCCUGUGCGUCUGGCACCGCAAUUAAAGAAUGCCUGCUUUCUAAAAC